UACGUAGGGCGCAAGCGUUGUCCGGAAUUAUUGGGCGUAAAGAGCUCGUAGGCGGUUUGUCGCGUCUGCUGUGAAAGCCCGGGGCUCAACCCCGGGUCUGCAGUGGGUACGGGCAGACUAGAGUGCAGUAGGGGAGACUGGAAUUCUGGUGGUAGGCGGUGAAAUGCGCAGGAUAAUCAGGAGGAACACCGAUGGCGAAGGCAGGUCUCUGGGCUCGUUACUGACGCUGAGGAGCGAAAGCAUGGGGAGCGAACAGGAUUAGAUACCCCCGUAGUCC
RNAcentral lists this ribosomal RNA (277 nucleotides) under uncultured bacterium. RNAcentral's name for it is "partial 16S ribosomal RNA". It matches the Rfam family "Bacterial small subunit ribosomal RNA", at positions 524 to 796 of the family's 1533-position model. The record is from RNAcentral.